UCUAAAAGAGUUCUCAGGUUAUGAAACUCUGCUGCAUGGACUUUACUAAAUGCUAUUUAAGCUCCCGCGGGCCACACAAAAGGGCUUGGCGGGCCACAUUUAGCCCCCGGGCCUUGAGUUUGACCUGUAUGUCCUAGUGUGUCCACUCAUGCGUAAGACAAGCUAGGCUAGCUAGCGCCCUCCUGUGAUGGGACUGCCAUGCUGCAGCAUUGUGGUGAGACACCACACCAAGUGUGAGGAGCUUAACGAAUAUCAUUUAAAAGUGUUCUCAGCUUUUUUAAAACAUCUUCAUCAUUUGUCCUAAGUGAUCUCUACAAACUGCUGAAUUACUGUCCUGCCACUUGUCCUUCCAGAAUUCAGUACAACGUGGCAGCCAAUGGGGAGUGCCACUGCACACAAUCCCCACACUUCUUUCGUUUCUUCUCUGUAGUGUUCAAUUCCCAAGUGCCGCAUCAAUAUGUUUCUUCCUUAAUCUUAAAGUCUUCUUUCUGCAAAUACACUAUAUGUUGUAAUAUCAAACAGUGGCCGAACAGAACAUCACAUGGACAUCUUUAUCUGAGGGUUAGUCCUGUUAUACUACUAUUAGAAGGAGUUGCUGUUUGAUGUGCGCACAGAAACAAACAAGACCUUACAGCGUAAUGCAGCAGUCAAUAUUGAAUCAGAGACACAAUAGGACCAAAGAAAGUCCUGUUCCACUUAUACAUAUCCUGUUUGUGAUGCACUGUCACCAGAAAAAAUGUGUGGCUUCUCUACUUGGUUACCAUUGCUGUUGGAUCUUCAAGGGUAAAUUUAAAUUAUUGUUACCCCCUAGUUGGUGUAUGUAGGCCAGGAGUUUGAAACCUCUGAUUUCAUUUUUUAUUUUAUUUUAUAUUUUGCAAAAUGACACUUAUUUACUUCUACAGGCAGCAUGUACGAACCUGAAGAAAUUCAUGUUUGUACUAAAACAUGGUGAACCCUACAGUGACCCUAGGGAAAUACAAGGAGAUAUUCACUUACUUGGAAACCUAACUCAUCUGGCACUACAUUCAAGUUCUAAAAUCGAGGCAAAACUGAAGCACUACACCAAGUUCAUGUUUGUCCGUCAUCCAUUUGUACGAAUCAUUUCUGCCUACGUUGACAAAAUUAGGCACCGGGAUUCCUAUUUUUAUACCACAUUUGUACGGGAUAUUCUAGUCUCUAUGCUAACCACACAAAUCCACCAGAGACAGUUGAAGAGGGAAACGCACAGGGAUUGGUUCCAUCCUUUGAAAAUUUCAUUCAGUACUUGGUGGAUCCACGAACAGAGAAGCAAAAGCCAUUUGAUACACACUGGAGACAGAUGCACCGCUUGUGUAAUCCCUGCCUCGUAGAGUAAGAUCAUAUUUUUUUAAACAGAAGUGACACUUUGUUU
Molecule: long non-coding RNA, 1390 nt
Organism: Cynoglossus semilaevis (tongue sole)
Lineage: Eukaryota; Metazoa; Chordata; Actinopteri; Pleuronectiformes; Cynoglossidae
Exons: 2
Source: RefSeq, a predicted model, not a curated record